GCUCCAAAUGAUGAUUAUCACCUUUACAUUUUUUCUGGUACCUCUUAUUUUAGAGCUUCACGGCUCGAUGCAUUAAACGGACUUCUGAUG
Small nucleolar RNA from Verticillium dahliae VdLs.17, 90 nucleotides. It matches the Rfam family "A. fumigatus snoRNA Afu_264". The record is from Rfam. Lineage: Eukaryota; Fungi; Ascomycota; Sordariomycetes; Glomerellales; Plectosphaerellaceae.